AAGGGAGAAGACCUUUCUGGAAUAAGUAAAAGUGAAGCUCUUUCUUGAAGAGCCCGAGCAGCCUCUGUGCAGCUCUCUGGCCUCCACUGAGGCUUCUGCUGACCACCAUUCUCUUCACUCCUCCUGGCGGUGAGACUCCAGAACCUUCUGCCGCAGCAAUCCUGCCUCAUUUCCAAGCAGGACCACCCCCUGUGGCCAAGCCGCCUCCACCUCUCCCGACCCCUGCUGAGCUGUCCUUCCUGGGUGGAGCUCCUUGAGGUCCCGUGAAGUCCCUGCAGUUAAGCACCCAGUGGGAAGAAAGUCGCCUUCCACCGUCAGACCCUCUCCUGCAGCCGGAGUGGGGAAGGCCCAUGAGAGUCUGGUUGUCAACCUGCCAUGUUUCAACAAGGAAGUUGCCAAUGAAGUCUUGUGCAAAGGACCGGCCAACCCCAUUCUGUUCUCCCUCCCUGCUUCAAGAAGUCCCCUCCAAGAGGCCUGCUCCUUGGGAAUGUCCACCGGCCAUGCCUGCCUGAUGUCCACUACACGGGGAGAAGCCAGGCCUUUAACCACCUCUGCCAGGCUACGAUGCACAACACGUCCACUCACAACCCACGGACGGCUCAUGACAGCUCUUGGUGAGCGCAGCUCUCUCUGCUUCCUGGUUGCCGUGUCCUGAGCUGCGUUCCUCCUCCAUGCCCUUCCACCUUGGUACCUGGUGGGGCCAGGACCGUGCACCUGUGCUCUCACCUCUGUCACAGAGCAUCGGAGUCACCGACCAUGGGCUGAACCUCUGAAACCUUGAGCCAAAAUAAACUUUUCCUCUUCUACAUUGUUAUUGUCGGGUCCUUUGGUCACAGCAACAAAAAAGCUGACCCAAACCAUCAGAGUGAGCAUGGGUCCAGGUGAAGCAGCAGAAGCUAAUGCAAGAGCCGGCCUUGCAGGAAGUCCAGCGUUCAGGAACCAGGAGGGUAGAGGCACCACGAUCCGCUCUUAGGGAGAGACCUGCAGGAAAAGCGUUUGUGACCCAUUGAGAUAGGGCUGGGAUACAUGUCCCGGGUUCCUCCUCGGCAAAAUGAGUUCUGGCACCAGGAUUAAAUGAGAUAAUGUGAUGAAAAUAUUUUAGACUCUCCGAGAAUUACAGAUAGCUGUGGGCUGGUGCUGGAAAUGGGUUAAAGAUCCCACAUGCAAAGACUGGUGUGGCUGGCAACCUGGACCAAACUGGCUGCUGGUUCAGGAAAUACCACCCCUGUGUUUUUCCUCCUCUUUACUGUUCUUUGGCAGUCUGACUGCACAGGGGGCAGUUCAACCUGUGUCUUUGCUGGACUAAGAGAAGUGACGCAGAGCCUGGAGAACAACAAGCUGCCACCCAGAUGGUGGCUUUGACCAAGUCCUCUCCCUGGCCUGCAGCACUGAUUGAUCCCUGGGUACAAUAUGGCUUCCCUCUGGAGACUUUUUUACCUUUGCGAUCUUUGUGCCAAACUGGCUAUUUGUGGGAGGUCACUGCUGUAGAUACUGGACCUUAAAGUUAUUCGAUAUCUAGAGUAUUAAAACAUUUAAAAGUUCUA
Molecule: non-coding RNA, 1544 nt
Organism: Marmota flaviventris (yellow-bellied marmot)
Lineage: Eukaryota; Metazoa; Chordata; Mammalia; Rodentia; Sciuridae
Source: RefSeq, a predicted model, not a curated record